RNAcentral lists this ribosomal RNA (500 nucleotides) under uncultured Myrionecta. RNAcentral's name for it is "bacterial SSU rRNA". It matches the Rfam family "Eukaryotic small subunit ribosomal RNA", at positions 1212 to 1799 of the family's 1831-position model. The record is from RNAcentral. Lineage: Eukaryota; Ciliophora; Litostomatea; Cyclotrichida; Mesodiniidae.
AACUUACCAGGUCAAGACAUGGGCGUGAUUGACAGGCUAAUGACUUUUCUCGAUUCCAUGGAUGGUGGUGCAUGGUCGCACUUAGUUGGUGCAGUGAUUUGUCAGGUUUAUUCCGGUAACGAACGAGACCUCGGCCUUGUAAAUAGCUAUGCUGCUUACAGGGACAUUGGCGGCUACGCCAAGGAAGCUCGAGGCAAUUGCAGAUCUGGAAUGCCCUUAGAUGUCCUGGGUCGCACGCGUGCUACAAUGACGCCACGAACGAGCUUGCGUGAUGAAAGUUACGCAUAAUCAGCAGUCGGCGUCUUAAGGGAUAGUCUCUUGUAACUGUGGGACUCCAACUAGGAAUGUCUCGUAAGCACAAGUCAACAUCUUGUGUUGAUUACGUCCCUGCUCUUUGUACACACCGCCCGUCGCUCCUACCGAUCGAGUGUUUAGGUGAAUUUGAUGGACGUAAGGAAGUCAAAUAAACCUGAGCACUUAGCGAAGAGAAGUCGAUAAGU